AUAUUCAUAAAUAUCCAUGAGUAGUUUAAGAGUGAGCCGGCCCAAAUCCCGUAAGGAAGAAAAAAAACCUCCUAAGGUAUAUAUUCGGAUAUCAUAGAAUUUUCAACAGAAUCCUCCAAAUAGGCUCUAAUUGGAUCUUCAGAUACCAUAGUCUCAAGAUAUUCCAAGACUCUUUCAAUAUCACCUACAUUUGCUUUCAGUGACUGCUUUUAUGCAAAUGAUUCUUAAAUCUUUGAGCAAAAAUUAAGAUUUUAACGACCAUAGUUUGUCUAGAUAUAAAAUCAGAUAUUGCCUUUCGACUAAUUCCAUUGUUUAUUGCAAUCCCAGCUUA
This 331-nucleotide long non-coding RNA is filed under the name Phoenix dactylifera (date palm). RNAcentral's name for it is "long non-coding RNA (PDAC_LNC003262)". Lineage: Eukaryota; Viridiplantae; Streptophyta; Magnoliopsida; Arecales; Arecaceae. The record is from RNAcentral.